Tachyglossus aculeatus (Australian echidna) is the source of this 74-nucleotide non-coding RNA. NCBI's taxonomy places the organism in Eukaryota, Metazoa, Chordata, Mammalia, Monotremata, Tachyglossidae. The record is from the annotation of a RefSeq genome assembly.
GGCACCAUGGUUUAGUUGGUUAAAACACCUGUCUAGUAAACAGGAGAUCCUGGGUUCAAAUCCCAGCGUUGCCU